UCUUUUGUGCAUUCAUGUUUUCUCCUUUUUUUUCCUUGACUAUGUUAGACAUUGAUUUAUUUUGAUUUUUUAACACAGAACAAAAUUCUUUAUUAUAUGAGUUAUAGUUUUUCUGUUCUAUAGCCCUUAACUUCUGCUUUUAUUCCACUAAUUUCUUCUGCUUUCCUUCAGUGUUUUUUCUAUCCUUUUGAAUGAGAGGCUCAAUUCAUUUAUUUUCAGGUGCUUAUUUUUCUUGGUAGAACCAAGAGCUACAGAUGUUCUCCUUGAGCACUUGUGUCCCUUACACUCAGAAUUGUUAUCAUUUUUAGAAGUCCUGCCAUUCUGAUUACAGAUCGUCCUUGACCCAAGAGAAUGGUACUAGAGGCUGUCAAAGUUCCAGGUGCCAGGGCCUUUCUGCUUUCUAAUUGUUAUUAAUUCAUAGGUUUAUUUGUAAUCAGAUACUCUUGACUAUAUCUCUUUUCAAAUUUUUUACUAGGAUUUUCUUUGUGACAUAGUAUAUGGUCAAUUUUCAUGACUGUUCCAUGGGCACUUGAAAAGAAGGUGCGUUCUCUAUCAUCAAAAUAGAAUGUGUUAUCUAUAUAUCAAUAUACAGCAUGUGUAAGUAUCUAUAUAUGUACACGUACACACACAUGCACCUUACCAUGCCUGUUAGGUCUGCUCCACCUGGAAUUUACUUCUCAACCCUGCUUUAUGAAAGCUAUGCCUAUUACUUGGGGAGUAGUUCUUUCUGACCAUUUUAUCUUCUUUGAGAAUUGUACCUUCAACAUUACAUGUCCUUUCUGUUUGGUUUAUGCUUUCUGGCCCGGAUUCCAUCUUGCCUGAUAUUCAAAUUGCUGCUUUAUUUUUGUUUGUACUUUCCUUGAAUGCAUUGGUUAGAUUUUAACCUCUUUCUCUCACUGUUUUAGGUGUGUCUCUUGGAGACAGCACAGUUGGGUUUUGUCUUGUGACCCAUUCUGAUAUCUGUCAUUUUAAUUGAUCUAAGGCCACACUUUCCUCACUCACACUUUCGUUGAUGUCAUUGAAACACCCAGAUUCAAUCAUCUGCGUCACAGAAGAGCAGGACACAAGCUCAGACAGCCACCUCCCGGCCGCCCGAGUCGCCGUCCUCACUCCUACUUCCCCACUUCCUGACCUUCCUGGGCACAGUCCUGCUGUGCUGAGAAGGGUGGUACCUCGUUCUGCCAGGGGAUGGAGACACACCCCGUGACAAACUGGCUGUAGAAGGUGUCGUCU
Hipposideros armiger (great roundleaf bat) is the source of this 1233-nucleotide long non-coding RNA. RefSeq lists it as uncharacterized. NCBI's taxonomy places the organism in Eukaryota, Metazoa, Chordata, Mammalia, Chiroptera, Hipposideridae. The transcript is spliced from 3 exons. The record is from RefSeq and is a predicted model, not a curated record.